RNAcentral lists this transfer RNA (74 nucleotides) under Salmonella phage PVPSE1. RNAcentral describes it as "Salmonella phage PVP-SE1 tRNA". It matches the Rfam family "tRNA". From Rfam's summary of the family: Transfer RNA (tRNA) molecules are approximately 80 nucleotides in length. Lineage: Duplodnaviria; Heunggongvirae; Uroviricota; Caudoviricetes. The record is from Rfam by way of RNAcentral.
GGGGCCGUGGCUGACAAGGUAAUGGUGCCGCACUGUCUAUGCGGAAAAUGAGGGUUCGAUCCCCUUCGGCCUCG